Molecule: long non-coding RNA, 519 nt
Organism: Callorhinchus milii (elephant shark)
Lineage: Eukaryota; Metazoa; Chordata; Chondrichthyes; Chimaeriformes; Callorhinchidae
Exons: 2
Source: RefSeq, a predicted model, not a curated record
CAGACUGUGACUCUGCCUGACACACAGACAGAGAAGCUGGAGGUACAGUUUGACAUUGUGCCUGACAUACAGACUGAGACGUUAGUGACUAAGCUGGAGACACAGAGUGAGAUGACAUCUGAGGCCGCAAUCGGGAAUCCUCAGGAUCUGAGCGGAGAUGGUGUCACUGGAGUACAGGUCAUCAAGACUGAGACUGUGGAAUACAGCUCAGAGGAACACUCCACAGAAACACAGCCGUAACACAGCUGAUGGUCUCCAACAACAGCCACAGAUCUGAGCAGGAUCGUGCGGGCGAAAGGGAAUGGCUUUGGGUUAAGCGUAGACUUCUGUUGCUACGCGUUACUGUUCUGUAUUGCAUGCGCCGUACUUGUAUGGGAUUUGCUAUCCCGGGUGUGCGGUUUCUGCACCAUGUGGUGCCGGUGGUGUGCGGUGGUUCGGAGGGCUGGGCUGAGAUUUCAGGAUUAGUUGGGAUGUCCUGGGUCGUUGUUGUGUGCAAUAAAUACUACGUUUAAGAUGGAA